GACGAACGCUGGCGGCGUGCUUAACACAUGCAAGUCGAACGAGGUCCACUGCGUAGCAAUACAAGGGGAAGACCUAGUGGCGAACGGGUGCGUAACACGUGAGGAACUUGUCCCGGUCUCUGGGAUAACAGUUGGAAACGACUGCUAAUACCGGAUGAACGUCGGAAUCUCGCAUGGGAUACUGACGAAAGGGUUACUGGAUCGGGAGAGCCUCGCGGCCUAUCAGCUUGUUGGUGAGGUAACGGCUCACCAAGGCAUCGACGGGUAGCUGGUCUGAGAGGAUGAUCAGCCACACUGGGACUGAGACACGGCCCAGACUCCUACGGGAGGCAGCAGUGGGGAAUCUUGCGCAAUGGGCGAAAGCCUGACGCAGCAACGCCGCGUGCGGGAAGAAGGCCCUCGGGUUGUAAACCGCUUUCAGUAGG
This 425-nucleotide ribosomal RNA is filed under the name uncultured bacterium. Its description in RNAcentral is "bacterial SSU rRNA". It matches the Rfam family "Bacterial small subunit ribosomal RNA", at positions 28 to 443 of the family's 1533-position model. The record is from RNAcentral.